ACAGCAGCAGCCGCGGGAACACGGAGGAUCCGAGCGUUAUCCGGAAUUAUUGGGUUUAAAGGGUGCGUAGGCGGAUAGAUAAGUCAGUGGUGAAAGACGGUGGCUCAACCAUCGCAGUGCCGUUGAUACUGUUUAUCUUGAAUAUGGAUGAGGUAGGCGGAAUGUGGCAAGUAGCGGUGAAAUGCAUAGAUAUGCCACAGAACACCGAUUGCGAAGGCAGCUUACCAAGGCAAAAUUGACGCUGAGGCACGAAAGCGUGGGGAUCGAACAGGAUUAGAGACCCCUGUAGUCCCUGUCUCUUAUAC
Molecule: ribosomal RNA, 305 nt
Filed under: uncultured bacterium
Lineage: Bacteria
Description: partial 16S ribosomal RNA
Rfam family: Bacterial small subunit ribosomal RNA
Source: RNAcentral